GUGUCAGCCGCCGCGGUAAUACAGAGGGUGCAAGCGUUAAUCGGAAUUACUGGGCGUAAAGCGUGCGCAGGCGGUUGUGUAAGACAGGCGUGAAAUCCCCGGGCUCAACCUGGGAAUGGCGCUUGUGACUGCACGGCUGGAGUGCGGCAGAGGGGGAUGGAAUUCCGCGUGUAGCAGUGAAAUGCGUAGAUAUGCGGAGGAACACCGAUGGCGAAGGCAAUCCCCUGGGCCUGCACUGACGCUCAUGCACGAAAGCGUGGGGAGCAAACAGGAUUAGAUACCCUCGUAGUCC
This 292-nucleotide ribosomal RNA is filed under the name uncultured Tepidimonas sp. Its description in RNAcentral is "partial 16S ribosomal RNA". It matches the Rfam family "Bacterial small subunit ribosomal RNA", at positions 505 to 796 of the family's 1533-position model. The record is from RNAcentral. Lineage: Bacteria; Pseudomonadati; Pseudomonadota; Betaproteobacteria; Burkholderiales.